RNAcentral lists this ribosomal RNA (500 nucleotides) under uncultured bacterium. Its description in RNAcentral is "partial 16S ribosomal RNA". It matches the Rfam family "Bacterial small subunit ribosomal RNA", at positions 29 to 523 of the family's 1533-position model. The record is from RNAcentral.
AUUGAACGCUGGCGGCAUGCCUAACACAUGCAAGUCGAACGGCAGCACGGGAGCAAUGCUGGUGGCGAGAGGCGAACGGGAGAGUAUUAUAUCGGAACGAGCACAGUCGUGGGGGCUAACGUAGCGAAAGCUACGCUAAUACAGAAUACGCUCUAAGGACGACAGAGGGGGACCGCAAGACCUCGCGCGCUUGGAGAGCCCGAUAUCGGAUUAGGUAGUUGGUGAGGUAAAGGCUCACCAAGCCGACGAUCUGUAGCUGGUCUGAGAGGACGACCAGCCACACUGGGACUGAGACACGGCCCAGACUCCUACGGGAGGCAGCAGUGGGGAAUUUUGGACAAUGGGCGCAAGCCUGAUCCAGCAAUGCCGCGUGCAGGAUGAAGGCCUUCGGGUUGUAAACUGCUUUUGUACGGAACGAAACGGCGAGCUCUAAUACAGUUUGCUAAUGACGGUACCGUAAGAAUAAGCACCGGCUAACUACGUGCCAGCAGCCGCCGUAA